This 378-nucleotide ribosomal RNA is filed under the name uncultured Desulfovibrio sp. RNAcentral describes it as "bacterial SSU rRNA". It matches the Rfam family "Bacterial small subunit ribosomal RNA", at positions 1002 to 1382 of the family's 1533-position model. Lineage: Bacteria; Pseudomonadati; Thermodesulfobacteriota; Desulfovibrionia; Desulfovibrionales; Desulfovibrionaceae. The record is from RNAcentral.
AGAGAAGUGCUUUAGCAAUAAAGAACCCGGUGACAGGUGCUGCAUGGCUGUCGUCAGCUCGUGUCGUGAGAUGUUGGGUUAAGUCCCGCAACGAGCGCAACCCUCGCCUUUAGUUGCCAGCAUUCAGUUGGGCACUCUAGAGGGACUGCCGGUGUCAAACCGGAGGAAGGUGGGAUGACGUCAAGUCCUCAUGGCCUUUAUGUCUAGGGCUACACACGUACUACAAUGGCCGGUACAAAGGGCAGCCACUCAGCGAUGAGGCGCUAAUCCCAUAAAGCCGGUCUCAGUCCGGAUCGCAGUCUGCAACUCGACUGCGUGAAGUUGGAAUCGCUAGUAAUCGUAGAUCAGCAUGCUACGGUGAAUACGUUCCCGGGCCUU